GACGAACGCUGGCGGCGUGCUUAACACAUGCAAGUCGAACGGAAAGGCCCUGCUUGCAGGGUGCUCGAGUGGCGAACGGGUGAGUAACACGUGGGUGAUCUGCCCCUUACUUUGGGAUAAGCAUGGGAAACUGGGUCUAAUACUGGAUAGGACCAUGCUGUAGGUGGUGUGGUGGAAAGAUUAGUUUCGGUUAGGGAUGAGCUCGCGGCCUAUCAGCUUGUUGGUGGGGUAAUGGCCAACCAAGGCGUUGACGGGUCGCCGGCCUGAGAGGGUGGACGGCAACGUUGGGACUGAUAUACGGCCCAGACUCCUACGGGAGGCAGCAGUGGGGAAUAUUGCACAAUGGGCGCAAGCCUGAUGCAGCGACGCCGCGUGGGGGAUGACGGCCUGCGGGUUGUAAACUCCUUUCAGCCAUGACGAAGCCCUUGUGGUGACGGUAGUGGUAGAAGAAGCACCGGCUAACUACGUG
Molecule: ribosomal RNA, 469 nt
Filed under: uncultured bacterium
Lineage: Bacteria
Description: partial 16S ribosomal RNA
Rfam family: Bacterial small subunit ribosomal RNA
Source: RNAcentral